CCUACGGGAGGCAGCAGUGGGGAAUAUUGGACAAUGGGGGCAACCCUGAUCCAGCCAUGCCGCGUGUGUGAAGAAGGCCUUCGGGUUGUAAAGCACUUUCAGCUGUGAGGAAAGGCGAGUGGUUAAUACCCGCUUGCUGUGACGUUACUCGCAGAAGAAGCACCGGCUAACUCCGUGCCAGCAGCCGCGGUAAUACGGAGGGUGCGAGCGUUAAUCGGAAUUACUGGGCGUAAAGCGUGCGCAGGCGGUUUGUUAAGCGAGAUGUGAAAGCCCCGGGCUCAACCUGGGAACCGCAUUUCGAACUGGCAAACUAGAGUCUUGUAGAGGGGGGUAGAAUUCCAGGUGUAGCGGUGAAAUGCGUAGAUAUCAGGAAGAACACCGAGAGCGAAGGCAAUUUACUGGACGAUAACUGACGCUCAGGGACGAAAGCGUGGGGAGCGAACAGGAUUAGAUACCCGAGUAGUC
RNAcentral lists this ribosomal RNA (465 nucleotides) under uncultured Shewanella sp. RNAcentral describes it as "bacterial SSU rRNA". It matches the Rfam family "Bacterial small subunit ribosomal RNA", at positions 338 to 795 of the family's 1533-position model. Lineage: Bacteria; Pseudomonadati; Pseudomonadota; Gammaproteobacteria; Alteromonadales; Shewanellaceae. The record is from RNAcentral.